AGGAUACAACCUUGGAUCACUGUAAGCCAAUCUGAACAAACAAUAAAAUCCACUUUGGAAUUGUUCAAGGGUAUCGACCUUGGACAACUAUCCGAGCUGACCAUCCUCACUCCAACACAAGUUCGAAGAAUUUACCAAGUUGACAUAUGAUCAAAAUAAGAAAUACAUCAAAACAUAAAGAAGUGAAGUCCAUUUCAUUACUUAAAGAAAGUUUACUAC
Molecule: long non-coding RNA, 219 nt
Filed under: Elaeis guineensis (African oil palm)
Lineage: Eukaryota; Viridiplantae; Streptophyta; Magnoliopsida; Arecales; Arecaceae
Description: long non-coding RNA (EGUI_LNC009941)
Source: RNAcentral